GAUCAUGGCUCAGGAUGAACGCUGACAGAAUGCUUAACACAUGCAAGUCAACUUGAAUUUGGGUUUUUAACUUAGGUUUGGGUGGCGGACGGGUGAGUAACGCGUAAAGAACUUGCCUCACAGUUAGGGACAACAUUUGGAAACGAAUGCUAAUACCUAAUAUUAUGAUAAUAGGGCAUCCUAUGAUUAUGAAAGCUAUAAGCGCUGUGAGAGAGCUUUGCGUCCCAUUAGCUAGUUGGAG
This 241-nucleotide ribosomal RNA is filed under the name uncultured bacterium. RNAcentral describes it as "partial 16S ribosomal RNA". It matches the Rfam family "Bacterial small subunit ribosomal RNA", at positions 15 to 254 of the family's 1533-position model. The record is from RNAcentral.